AACGAACGCUGGCGGCAUGCCUAACACAUGCAAGUCGAACGAGACCUUCGGGUCUAGUGGCGCACGGGUGCGUAACGCGUGGGAACCUGCCCUUAGGUUCGGAAUAACUCCCCGAAAGGGGUGCUAAUACCGGAUAAUGUCUUCGGACCAAAGAUUUAUCGCCUUUGGAUGGGCCCGCGUUGGAUUAGCUAGUUGGUAGGGUAAAAGCCUACCAAGGCGACGAUCCAUAGCUGGUCUGAGAGGAUGAUCAGCCACACUGGGACUGGGACACGGCCCAGACUCCUACGGGAAGCAGCAGUGGGGAAUAUUGGACGAUGGGCGAAAGCCUGAUCCAGCAAGGCCGCGUGAGUGAUGAAGGCCUUAGGGUUGUAAAGCCCUUUUACCCGGGAUGAUAAUGACAGUACCGGGAGAAUAAGCUCCGGCUAACUACGUG
Molecule: ribosomal RNA, 433 nt
Filed under: uncultured bacterium
Lineage: Bacteria
Description: partial 16S ribosomal RNA
Rfam family: Bacterial small subunit ribosomal RNA
Source: RNAcentral